RNAcentral lists this ribosomal RNA (893 nucleotides) under Proteus mirabilis. Its description in RNAcentral is "partial 23S ribosomal RNA". It matches the Rfam family "Bacterial large subunit ribosomal RNA", at positions 890 to 1779 of the family's 2925-position model. Lineage: Bacteria; Pseudomonadati; Pseudomonadota; Gammaproteobacteria; Enterobacterales; Morganellaceae. The record is from RNAcentral.
UCAUCUUCGGGGGUAGAGCACUGUUUCGACUAGGGGGUCAUCCCGACUUACCAACUCGAUGCAAACUGCGAAUACCGAAGAAUGUUAUCACGGGAGACACACGGCGGGUGCUAACGUCCGUCGUGAAGAGGGAAACAACCCAGACCGCCAGCUAAGGUCCCAAAGUCAUGGUUAAGUGGGAAACGAAGUGGGAAGGCUCAGACAGCCAGGAUGUUGGCUUAGAAGCAGCCAUCAUUUAAAGAAAGCGUAAUAGCUCACUGGUCGAGUCGGCCCGCGCGGAAGAUGUAACGGGGCUAAACCAUGCACCGAAGCUGCGGCAGCGACACAAAGUGUUGUUGGGUAGGGGAGCGUUCUGUAAGCCUGCGAAGGUGUACUGUGAGGUAUGCUGGAGGUAUCAGAAGUGCGAAUGCUGACAUAAGUAACGAUAAUGCGGGUGAAAAACCCGCACGCCGGAAGACCAAGGGUUCCUGUCCAACGUUAAUCGGGGCAGGGUGAGUCGACCCCUAAGGCGAGGCUGAAAAGCGUAGUCGAUGGGAAACGGGUUAAUAUUCCCGUACUGGUGGUAACUGCGAUGGGGGAACGGAGAAGGCUAGGUUGUCCGGGCGACGGUCGUCCCGGUUCAAGCAGGUAGGCAGAGUGAUUAGGCAAAUCCGGUCACUUAAUGCUGAGAUGUGAUGACGAACCACCAAGGUGGUGAAGCAAUUGAUGCCCCGCUUCCAGGAAAAGCCUCUAAGCUUCAGGUUACCAACAAUCGUACCCCAAACCGACACAGGUGGUCAGGUAGAGAAUACUCAGGCGCUUGAGAGAACUCGGGUGAAGGAACUAGGCAAAAUGGUGCCGUAACUUCGGGAGAAGGCACGCUGGCGGUAGGUAAAGUCCCUUGCGGACGGCGC